This 266-nucleotide ribosomal RNA is filed under the name uncultured bacterium. RNAcentral describes it as "partial 16S ribosomal RNA". It matches the Rfam family "Bacterial small subunit ribosomal RNA", at positions 793 to 1055 of the family's 1533-position model. The record is from RNAcentral.
GUCCACGCCCUAAACGAUGUCAACUGGUUGUCGGGGAAGCAAUUCCUUGGUAACGAAGCUAACGCGUGAAGUUGACCGCCUGGGGAGUACGGCCGCAAGGUUAAAACUCAAAGGAAUUGACGGGGACCCGCACAAGCGGUGGAUUAUGUGGAUUAAUUCGAUGCAACGCGAAAAACCUUACCUACCCUUGACAUGUACGGAACCCCGCAGAGAUGAGGGGUGGCCCGAAACGGGAAGCCGUAACACAGGUGCUGCAUGGCUGUCGU